Molecule: ribosomal RNA, 467 nt
Filed under: uncultured bacterium
Lineage: Bacteria
Description: partial 16S ribosomal RNA
Rfam family: Bacterial small subunit ribosomal RNA
Source: RNAcentral
GACGAACGCUGGCGGCGUGCUUAACACAUGCAAGUCGAACGGAAAGGCCCUGCUUUUGUGGGGUGCUCGAGUGGCGAACGGGUGAGUAACACGUGAGUAACCUGCCCUUGACUUUGGGAUAACUUCAGGAAACUGGGGCUAAUACCGGAUAGGAGCUCCUGCUGCAUGGUGGGGGUUGGAAAGUUUCGGCGGUUGGGGAUGGACUCGCGGCUUAUCAGCUUGUUGGUGGGGUAGUGGCUUACCAAGGCUUUGACGGGUAGCCGGCCUGAGAGGGUGACCGGCCACAUUGGGACUGGGAUACGGCCCAGACGGCUACGGGAGGCAGGAGUGGGGAAUAUUGCACAAUGGGCGGAAGCCGGAUGCAGCAACGCCGCGUGCGGGAUGACGGCCUUCGGGUUGGAAACCGCUUUCGCCUGUGACGAAGCGUGAGUGACGGUAAUGGGGAAAGAAGCACCGGCUAACUACGU